This 455-nucleotide ribosomal RNA is filed under the name uncultured bacterium. RNAcentral's name for it is "bacterial SSU rRNA". It matches the Rfam family "Bacterial small subunit ribosomal RNA", at positions 346 to 793 of the family's 1533-position model. The record is from RNAcentral.
AGGCAGCAGUAAGGAAUAUUGGACAAUGGUCGGAAGACUGAUCCAGCCAUGCCGCGUGCGGGAAGAAGGCCUUCGGGUUGUAAACCGCUUUUGUCAGGGAAGAAACGCUCUGGGCUAAUACCCUGGGGUAAUGACGGUACCUGAAGAAUAAGCACCGGCUAACUACGUGCCAGCAGCCGCGGUAAUACGUAGGGUGCAAGCGUUAAUCGGAAUUACUGGGCGUAAAGCGUGCGCAGGCGGUCUUGCAAGACAGAUGUGAAAUCCCCGGGCUCAACCUGGGAACUGCAUUUGUGACUGCAAGGCUAGAGUACGGUAGAGGGGGAUGGAAUUCCGCGUGUAGCAGUGAAAUGCGUAGAUAUGCGGAGGAACACCGAUGGCGAAGGCAAUCCCCUGGACCUGUACUGACGCUCAUGCACGAAAGCGUGGGGAGCAAACAGGAUUAGAUACCCUGGUAG